UGAGAUUGUUGUUGCGCUAUCUGGCAACCAUCAUGGACUUGAACUGAUCCUCCAGGCCCAUUGUUUACCACUGCAGGUGCAUCAUCAACCCUAGUAUCAUCUUCCUCAGAUGAGCCUAACCCCUGUCCAUCACCCAUCAUUCCAUUCCUAUAUUGCUUCUGCUCACAACACAUAUUGUUCUUUCCAUCUGCCAAACCUUUCUCACCCACAACUCCAUUGGUCACCGCAACAGAAAACAUCAACGAGUUUCAGAAGGACCAUUGAUGAGGAAUGCAUGGGAUUGCAUUGAGAAGAUAUUCUUUUAUAAUUUACUAAAAGUAGAGGCCGCUUUCCCCAGAAAUUAACCUCUACAAACACAAGCCAUUCAACUGAAUCCCAAUCCAAAUAAUGUUUUUGGCAAGCAACAUUGAUUAUGGAAAUAACAAAAAAGAAAAGAUUCAUCAAAUGCCAAUUCAUGCUCCAACCAACGUAAUUUCACAAAGUAACUCAAAAGUCUAAUGCUUUGUUUGGGAACCAAAAGAGGUAAGAGAAAAGAAACGAAAUUUUAAGAGGGAAAUGAAAAGCAACAAAAGGAAAUGAAUUUUGCAUUUACUUUCUUUUAUUUGGAUUCCUUCUUACAAUGGGAGGGAAGUUAAAUUUCCAUAGAUUGUGUUUUUACUAUUAAGGGCUUAACAAUGUUUAUGUGCUUCUAAAAUAAAUGCUAUAUUGGUAAAAUCAUAACAAUUUCUCUUCAUUUCCUUUGUUUUCCCACCAUUUUGGAAGGAAAUUAUAAGUGCUCAAAUUUCCUCUAAUUUCCCUUCUCUUCUCUUCCCUUUUAUUCCCUUCUCAUUUUAAGAGCCAAACGAAAGAUUUUAGAAAAACCAUUUUCCUUUCAUUUCUCUUCUUUCCAUUUUCAUCAAUACCUAACUCUAGAAGAAAUGAAACAUAUCACCUUGCAUUUCUACUGUGGAGAAAAGAAGAAGAAGAGAUAUAUAAAUUCAUGCCAGAGAAAGAAAAUAACAUUUCAUAAACUGACAAUAUACAUAAAUUACCAGUUAAUUCAAGAGAUGAUUAUAAGUAUAUGAAUCAUUAUCUUGGAAACACACUAAAUAGAAUCCAAUCAAUCUUCAGUCAUCAAUAUCUCUUCGAUAGCAACUCAAAGCCCUAAAUCUAUAGGAAUGGCAGCUACUAAAGACACACCCUUAAGAGUUACUCAACAAAAAGACACAACUGACAAAGUAAAAAUUUUAACUCCAUCCCUACAGCUCAGUUUGGGAUUGAGGUUGAGAGGCUACAAAUGCGUUUUCUGAAAAAACACUAUUUUAGAUGCUGUUUAUGUUGAAGGAAAAAAAAUAUUUAAUUAAUUUAGAGUUCAUAGAACUAAAAUAUAUUAAAUUUAACUCUAAACAGAUUUUUAACUUGACCCUAUAUCAAUAUUCAAUACACAUAACAUUUGAUAUCAACAGAGCCUUGAUUUCCAAUAUUUUAGCAAAGGGGAAAAGAAAGACAAAUGAACAA
This 1497-nucleotide unclassified non-coding RNA is filed under the name Hevea brasiliensis (rubber tree). Lineage: Eukaryota; Viridiplantae; Streptophyta; Magnoliopsida; Malpighiales; Euphorbiaceae. The record is from RNAcentral.